RNAcentral lists this ribosomal RNA (42 nucleotides) under Acacia pedina. Its description in RNAcentral is "partial 18S ribosomal RNA". The record is from RNAcentral. Lineage: Eukaryota; Viridiplantae; Streptophyta; Magnoliopsida; Fabales; Fabaceae.
GGUUGAUCCUGCCAGUAGUCAUAUGCUCUCAAAGAUUAAGCC